Molecule: long non-coding RNA, 953 nt
Organism: Panicum virgatum (switchgrass)
Lineage: Eukaryota; Viridiplantae; Streptophyta; Magnoliopsida; Poales; Poaceae
Exons: 2
Source: RefSeq, a predicted model, not a curated record
GCACCGCCACGUGAGAACCGCAGCCGCGAGAGCGGGAUAUCAGCCGGGCGCGCGGGCCAGCGAGCUCAGCGGGAGCUCCGCCGCGUGCGUGCAGCUCCGUCGCCGCGCGGCGGCGGGCUGGAGCUGCUGGGCUCCUUCCCCGACGGCGAAUCGAGGUCCGCUGCUGCGGAAUCAAGAUUCCGCACCGCCAAAUCGAGCUCUGCUCUGCCGACCCGGACGAGCGUUUCCCCAAUCGAUUUGACACAAUCUCUGAAUCAAUCAGCAACGCUAGCACACUCUGCUCCCCCUUUUGCUGCUGGACACCAGCCUAGCAUCUAUCCCAAAUCGUCAAGCACGAGGGCGCAACAGUCCGUUCAAGCAUGUGGCUCCGCUCUUCAUCUCAGCCUUGGCAUCCAGUUCUGCAGAGAUGGUCACCACCGUGGCCGAGCAAGUCGUAGAUGCAGCUGCUGCCCCCAUGUCGCGCCGGCUUAGCACAGCGGGUGGAGCUCAGCGGCCGCUGCAGAGAUCGGAGGCAAGCAGCUCAGAAGCGGCAAAGCUUGGAACGGCGGCGCAGUAGGGGGUAAACAAACAUACGAUGGUGAAACAUGCGCUCACAUGCCCACCGUUAGCUUGUAGGCAUGCCUAGCUUGUACAAGCCUGGCUUACCAAGUACGUUCGAUUCCGGCAUUCUAGCGGAGCCAAGCUAGAGGGUCCUCGCUGCAUUAGAUAAGUCUGGCUUAGUAUAAGUGCAUCUAGGUUUUAAUAGGUUUUGGUGAGUCGAUUGACAACAAUAAUUAAAAGACUAACAAUAUUAUUGAAGUUGUUAUGAGCAGAAAUAUAUUUGCAAAUCAAUUAUUGUCAUUAGCUCAUGUGAUAUAGAAUCAAACAGAAGACAAAUAUUAGUAAAAGUCAAAUAUAUUGUGAAGAGAAACAAGAAACAAGUGUUCAUGCAGUAAUAUUAAGAGGUUUCUUUA